AGGGCACCACCAGGAGUGGAGCCUGCGGCUUAAUUUGACUCAACACGGGAAAUCUCACCAGGCCCGGACACCGGUAGGAUUGACAGAUUGAGAGCUCUUUCUUGAUUCGGUGGGUGGUGGUGCAUGGCCGUUCCUAGUUGGUGGAGCGAUUUGUCUGGUUAAUUCCGAUAACGAACGAGACUCUGGCCUACUAACUAGACGAUAGAUCCCUUCGUGGGUCUAUCGCAGCUUCUUAGAGGGACGGGCGGCGUUUAGCCGCACGAGAUUGAGCAAUAACAGGUCUGUGAUGCCCUUAGAUGUUCUGGGCUGCACGCGCGCUACACUGAAGGAAUCAGCGUGUGUUCCCUACCCGAAAGGGUUGGGAAACCCGUUGAACCUCCUUCGUGAUGGGGAUUGGGGAUUGCAAUUAUUCCCCAUGAACGAGGAAUUCCCAGUAGGCGCGAGUCAUAAGCUCGCGUCGAUUACGUCCCUGCCCUUUGUACACACCGCCCGUCGCUACUACCGAUCGAGUUAUUUAGU
Molecule: ribosomal RNA, 519 nt
Filed under: uncultured eukaryote
Lineage: Eukaryota
Description: SSU rRNA
Rfam family: Eukaryotic small subunit ribosomal RNA
Source: RNAcentral